AUUGAACGCUGGCGGCAUGCUUUACACAUGCAAGUCGAACGGCAGCGCGGGCUUCGGCCUGGCGGCGAGUGGCGAACGGGUGAGUAAUGCAUCGGAACGUGCCCAGUAGUGGGGGAUAGCCCGGCGAAAGACGGAUUAAUACCGCAUACCACCUGAGGGUGAAAGCGGGGGACCGAAAGGCCUCGCGCUAUUGGAGCGGCCGAUGUCGGGUUAGCGUGUUGGUGGGGUAAAGGCUUACCAAGGCGACGAUCCGUCGCUGGUCUGAGAGGACGACCAGCCACACUGGGACUGAGACACGGCCCAGACUCCUACGGGAGGCAGCAGUGGGGAAUUUUGGACAAUGGGGGCAACCCUGAUCCAGCCAUGCCGCGUGCGGGAAGAAGGCCUUCGGGUUGUAAACCGCUUUUGUUCGGGAAGAAAUCCUCUGGGCUAAUACCCCGGGGUGAUGACGGUACCGGAAGAAUAAGCACCGGCUAACUACGUG
This 484-nucleotide ribosomal RNA is filed under the name uncultured bacterium. RNAcentral's name for it is "partial 16S ribosomal RNA". It matches the Rfam family "Bacterial small subunit ribosomal RNA", at positions 28 to 507 of the family's 1533-position model. The record is from RNAcentral.